UCCCAGUGCCAGCACGAUGCCUGCAGAGGGAGAAGAGCUGUUGGGUUAGUAUUUGUAGAAUGCGGGGACACAUGCAUGCAGGAAGUGGGUGUUACGUUGUGUUAUGUUUGCUGGGCUCUGAGCUGAGCACGGGGAGCACAGAGGCAGAGAGGCUCUGGCCUGCCCGCAAAGCCUUCCCAGCCUGCCGGGUCAGAGGAAGCCCCGGCUGUGGAGGAAGACGGACGCGUCAGCUCCCCAGCACCUCCUGGGACUGCUGUGAGAAGGUGAGGACGGCUGGCACGGUGCUUCACAAACAGGAGGGCUGCAGGCGGAGAGGAGGAGGGGAGGGUCAUCUUGAACCCCCCACGGUGCCGAGCCAGGCCCCUCCUGCUGGCACCACUCACCGCUGACCACACUGAAUAGCCUGCGGGUGCCCAUAGAGCCGCCCCAGAUUCUCAGAAGAGGGGGCAAGGAAACACCUGGAGAGGCCCAGCGGGUCCUGCCGAAGAUCGCGAUGGGAGAGUGAUGAGGAUAAACGGCUGUCUGUCUCUGGAAUCUUGUGAGAGAAAUGCAGCUCCAACCCAUUUUGUAGAUACGGAGACUGAGGCUGAAGGCUUUCAAAUGGCGUGGUUGGCCCGGGAGACAGGACCUGUAUUUGCUGAGCACGUGCUCUGUAUUAAGCUCUGACAGACAUGAGGUCCAUCCUCGAGAGGCUUCCGAUCUAGCCCAGGGGAAGGCUUGAAUAGAAGCCAUUCAGGUAAAGCAACAGCUACAAACUGAGAUCAGGGCCAUGAAGGAGAAGAACCAGGUGUUUGAAACGGAAGUAAGAAGAGGCUUACGUCGGUAAGGGGGACGACUCUCUGAGAAAGUGGCAUUUAUGCCGAGAUGGAGGCUGAGUCACAGGAAGAGCUCCAGGUGAAGGGACCAGUGCGUGCAAAGGCCCUGAGGUGGGAAGGACCUGGCGUGUUCCUGGAGCAGAGAAGUGGCCAGUGCGUCUGUGGGGAGAUGAGCAAGACCCAAACCUUUGCAAGGCGCCCCCAUGAUGAGCCAAGCCUUCUGGUGUAGAGCUGAGCUCUAAGUCAGAGUUCUGACUUCAGUCUAGAGACUUCUCCAUACCUCUCUGGGGCCUGGUCAGCCCCAGUUUUGGGCGGAGCCCCACCCUGCCACAAGGGAGCCCCUAGGCUCUGCCUGACCACCUCAUCUGUCACGAUCUCCCCCUCCCCCCCACCGCAGUAUACAGACAGCGCCACCAGUGUGGCCUUCUGCUCCCUGUCUGGUGUGGACCUUCCACCUCUCCUGAACUACCCCCUUCCUUGAGCCGACAGGCAGCAUUCCUCUGAGUCAGGGAGCGGGGGCCGUGGGGGCGAGCCGAGGGAGGGCUGUGCAGGCUUUCAGGAGCAUUACAUCUGGAGAGGGAGACCGGAAUGUUUGUGUCUGAAAUUUAGCUAAUAUCCCAGGAAUUUCUCCUGGCGGUUCAGAGGGUUCCUAGGGGGACUGCAAAGCUGGGAUGUCUGGGUUCUGGAGGCGGGCUGGCCUCGCUCAAAGCCUCUUUGUCUCCGUGGCUCUGCCUGUGUCGAUCUGGCUAGGCAUCUGUGUGCCUUUGUGUGUGUGUGUGUGUGUGUGUGUGUGUGUACCUGAGUAUCUUUCUGGGUCUACAUCAUGGUGUGACUGGAGUCUCUGUGUCUCUCCGAUUCGUGGUACGUCAGUGGGCACAGCACGCGAAGACCCCGACACCGGCCCGGGUGCCCCGGACCCCGCCGAUGCUCAGCAGCCUUUGAAGCCAAGCACAGGCCACCCCCCGCAGUGUCGCCCAUGGCUGCCUGCUGGCCUCUCGGCCCCAGAGCCGCCAUCAUACAGCCCCUCAGGGGCUUCCGACCGCUGGAGGCCUCGUCACCCGUCCUGGAAACAUCUCAAGCACACGGACAGCCCAUUCUAAACGUUUCAUUCUUUAUGUGGUGUAUUCGUUUUCUAGGGAUGUUGUAACACAUGCCACAAGUUGGGUGGCUUAGAACAGUCCCGAAGGCCAGACGUCUGACAUCAGGGUGUUGGUGCCGCCUUGCUCCCUCUCGAGGCCCCAGGGAGGAUCCCUCCUGGCCUCUUCCGGCCUCUGGCGGUUGCUGGCAAUGCUUGGCGUUCCCUGGCCCGUAGACACAUCCCUCCAGUCCUCCCUUCUGCCUUCACACGGCUUUCCCCUGUGUGUAUCUGUGUCUCAGAUCUCCGUCUCCUUGUGAGGCCCACCCGCAAUCCAGAACCCUCUCUCGUCCCGAUCCUUAAUUACAUCAGCAAAGGCCUGAUUGCCAAAUGAAGAAACAGUUCACCUUCCCGGGUACUGGGUGUGUCAGGACUUGGGCAUAUCGGGUGAAGGAAUGUAAUCCGGCUCACUUCAUGGCAGCUGUAGUUCUAGAAACUCAACAAUAGCCCGUCGACCUGAGCGGUUGAUGAUGACAAAUAACAGAGCCCCCACGAUUGUCUGGGUUAGAGGUCCCCUAGCACACCUGGCAGCGGGCCCCCCACAUCGUCUCUGGGUAAGCUGAAACACCUGCGGACACAGAAAGCCCAUCACGCCCCGUGCACGCUGGCUUACGAGGGGGCCCGGGGUGGGCGGCCAGGCUGUCAGGAAAUACGGAGGAAGAAGGAAAGGUGCCUCCUGCCUUCCUGAGGGCUCAAGGCUUCGUCACUUUCUGACACUGAAGGGUAGACCCUGGUGAAACGAAGAUGUCCAGCCAGCUCAGGAGGCAGAAACGGAGCAAGAAACGGAGCAAGCGUUCCGAAGCCAGGCUCUGCCCGGGACGUGAGUGGGGUGGCGGCAAAGUCCUAUUUCCUGGUCCUUGCGCUACAUCUGCUCUUGCAGAGUGGGCCUGGGGAGGCCUUCCGGCUCUCUGGGCGUCAGCCGUGUGCUGGAAUUGCAAAGGCUGGCCCUUCCUGUCUCAAGGCUACGGCGAGGCUCUCCACCGCGUGGAUCGGGGCAAUCCGUGCCUACAAAGGCCGAGGCUGUUUUCGUGGUUAAGGGAGUAGCUAGAACGAGAACAGCAGCAGGCAGCUUGCUUUAUGUGAAUCCCGCACCCUCCAGGAGAUCUACAAGGCAGCAAAUGGGCAGGCAAGUGGCAUCGUUGAGCACCGACUGUAUGCCAGGCAUUCUUCUAGGCCAGGGGCUACAAUUUCUCAUCUAACGGUGCCAAGGGCCCUGCACGGCACAGGCGUUAGGGAACCCGUAUUUUUUUCAGAGGAGGAAAAUGAAGCAAAAUAUCAACCGAGAUCACAUCGCCAGAAGGUGUUUAGAGAUCUACAAAGAAGUCACUGGCAAGUGGCUUGAGGUGAGGGCCGGGGCGACGGAGAGGCAGGUUCAUUAUGAAACAUGGAUACAAGUCUUCGAGUCAAAAGGAAUAAAUAAGCGGCUGAUUUCCCUGGA
This is a long non-coding RNA of Herpailurus yagouaroundi (jaguarundi), 3388 nucleotides long. RefSeq lists it as uncharacterized. The record is from RefSeq and is a predicted model, not a curated record. The transcript has 4 exons. Lineage: Eukaryota; Metazoa; Chordata; Mammalia; Carnivora; Felidae.